RNAcentral lists this ribosomal RNA (462 nucleotides) under uncultured bacterium. RNAcentral's name for it is "partial 16S ribosomal RNA". It matches the Rfam family "Bacterial small subunit ribosomal RNA", at positions 338 to 795 of the family's 1533-position model. The record is from RNAcentral.
CCUACGGGUGGCAGCAGUGAGGAAUAUUGGUCAAUGGACGCAAGUCUGAACCAGCCAAGUAGCGUGCAGGAUGACGGUCCUCCGGGUUGUAAACUGCUUUUAGCUGGGAAUAAAAUGAGGCUCGUGAGCCCCGCAGUGUAUGUACCAACAGAAAAAGGACCGUCUAAUUCCGCGUCAGCAGCCGCGGUUAUACGGAAGGUCCGGGUGUUCUCCGGAUUUUUUGGGUUAAAAGGGAGGCUAGGGCGGCUUGUAAGUCAGCUGGUAAAGUCCGGGGCUCAACCGUCGAAUUGCAGUUGAAACUGGAUGCCUUGAGAGCACACAGGGUUGCCGGAAUUCGUGGUGUAGCGGUGAAAUGCUUAGAUAUCGUGAAGAACUCCGAUCGCGAAGGCAAGUGUCCGGGGUGGAACUGACGCUGAGGCUCGAAAGUGUGGGUAUCAAACAGGAUUAGAUACCCUUGUAGUC